This 383-nucleotide long non-coding RNA is filed under the name Homo sapiens (human). Its description in RNAcentral is "non-protein coding lnc-PRSS23-1:5". Lineage: Eukaryota; Metazoa; Chordata; Mammalia; Primates; Hominidae. The record is from RNAcentral.
AGAAACUGAUGCUCUGAGAGGCCAAGCAGUUUGCCCAAGAUUACACAGUCAUAGCCGUGCCUGGGAGAACCUUCUCUUCAACUCUGCCGCACCACUGUCAAGCUCACCUUUCUUCUAAGGUUUUAUUUUAGAGUUAACAUCCUCCAAAAAGCCUUCCUCAGGAGUUGAAGGUGCCCCUAAUAUCACAGCCAUGGCAUCCUGUACACUGGACCUUAUUGUCUGUCUGCCUGUUGUACCUUGUAUGAGUCUAUAAGCAAAACCUAUAAGAAGCCACAUCUGGCUAUUCUAUGUACUCAAAAAAUAAUUGGCAAGUGAAAGAAUGAGGAAAAGGAGAAAAAAUUCAGAAGGCCCCUACCCCUUCCAAUGGGUCAAGUCAGGAAUUU